UACAGAGGUGGCGAACGUUGUUCGGAUUUACUGGGCGUAAAGGGUCCGCAGGCGGCUUGGUGUGUCGGGUGUGAAAGCUCACGGCUCAACCGUGGAAUUGCAUUCGAAACUGCCGAGCUAGAGUACUGGAGGGGAGAAGGGAACACUUGGUGUAGCGGUGAAAUGCGUAGAUAUCAAGUGGAACACCGGUGGCGAAGGCGCUUCUCUGGACAGAUACUGACGCUCAUGGACGAAAGUUAGGGUAGCGAAAGGGAUUAGAUACCCCUGUAGUCCUAACCGUAAACGGUGUGCACUAGGCGUGGGUGGCUUUACCCCCAUCCGUGCCUGAGCUAACGCAUUAAGUGCACCGCCUGGGGAGUACGGUCGCAAGAUUAAAACUCAAAGGAAUUGACGGGGACCCGCACAAGCGGUGGAGCAUGUGGCUUAAUUCGAUGCAACGCGAAGAACCUUACCUGGGCUUGACAUCUAGCUGCAUACGACCUGAAAGGGACGUAGCCUUCGAGGGUGCUAGACAGGUGCUGCAUGGCUGUCGUCAGCUCGUGCCGUGAGGUGUUGGGUUAAGUCCCGCAACGAGCGCAACCCCUGUGUUUAGUUGCCAUCAGUUCGGCUGGGAACUCUAAACAGACUGCCUGUGAAAGCAGGAGGAAGGUGGGGAUGACGUCAAGUCAGUAUGGUCCUUAUGUCCAGGGCUGCACACGUGCUACAAUGGGAUGUACAGUGGGAGGCCAAGCCGCGAGGUGGAGCAAAUCCUCAAAACAUCCCCCAGUUCGGAUUGUAGUCUGAAACUCGACUACAUGAAGUUGGAAUCGCUAGUAAAGGCGUAUCAGCUACGACGCCUUGAAUACGUUACCCGGGUG
RNAcentral lists this ribosomal RNA (857 nucleotides) under uncultured bacterium. RNAcentral describes it as "SSU rRNA". It matches the Rfam family "Bacterial small subunit ribosomal RNA", at positions 524 to 1380 of the family's 1533-position model. The record is from RNAcentral.